This 450-nucleotide ribosomal RNA is filed under the name uncultured organism. RNAcentral's name for it is "partial 16S ribosomal RNA". It matches the Rfam family "Bacterial small subunit ribosomal RNA", at positions 334 to 800 of the family's 1533-position model. The record is from RNAcentral.
CACUCCUGCGGGAGGCAGCAGUGGGGAAUAUUGGACAAUGGGCGCAAGCCUGAUCCAGCCAUGCCGCGUGAGUGAUGAAGGCCCUAGGGUUGUAAAGCUCUUUCACCGGUGAAGAUAAUGACGGUAACCGGAGAAGAAGCCCCGGCUAACUUCGUGCCAGCAGCCGCGGUAAUACGAAGGGGGCUAGCGUUGUUCGGAUUUACUGGGCGUAAAGCGCACGUAGGCGGACUAUUAAGUCAGGGGUGAAAUCCCGGGGCUCAACCCCGGAACUGCCUUUGAUACUGGUAGUCUUGAGUUCGAGAGAGGUGAGUGGAAUUCCGAGUGUAGAGGUGAAAUUCGUAGAUAUUCGGAGGAACACCAGUGGCGAAGGCGGCUCACUGGCUCGAUACUGACGCUGAGGUGCGAAGGCGUGGGGAGCAAACAGGAUUAGAUACCCGAGUAGUCCCAUGA